AACGAACGCUGGCGGCAUGCCUAACACAUGCAAGUCGAACGAGACCUUCGGGUCUAGUGGCGCACGGGUGCGUCAAGCGUGGGAACCUGCCCUUAGGUUCGGAAUAACUCUCCGACAGGGGUGCUAAUACAGGAUAAUGUCUUCGGACCCAACAUUUAUCGUCCUUGGAUGGGCCCGCGUUGGUUUAGCUUGUUGGUAGGGUAAAAGCCUACCACGGCUACGCUCGAUAGCUGGUCUGAGAGGAUGGGCCGCCACACUUGGGCUGGGACGCGGCCCAGACUCCUGCACGAGGCAGCAGUGGGUGAUAUUGGACAAUGGGCGGAGUCCUGAACCAGCAAUGCCGCUUGAGUGAUGAAGGCCUUAGAGUUGUAAAGCUCUUUUACCCGGGAUGAUAAUGACAGUACCGAGAGAAUAAGCUCCGGCUAACUCCGUG
RNAcentral lists this ribosomal RNA (433 nucleotides) under uncultured bacterium. Its description in RNAcentral is "partial 16S ribosomal RNA". It matches the Rfam family "Bacterial small subunit ribosomal RNA", at positions 29 to 507 of the family's 1533-position model. The record is from RNAcentral.